CCUGAACGCUGGCGGCGUGGCUAAGACAUGCAAGUCGCACGGAUCCCGCAAGGGAUUAGUGGCGAACGGGUGAGUAAUGUAUCGCUAACGUACCCUUUAGUCCGGGAUAGCCAGGGGAAACUCUGGGUAAUACCGGGAAAUAUCAUUUCCCCGCAUGGGAGAUGCUCAAAGGAGCAAUCCGCUGAAGGAGCGGGCGAUAUCGUAUCAGCUAGUUGGUGAGGUAACGGCUCACCAAGGCGACGACGCGUAGCCGGACUGAGAGGUCGGUCGGCCACAUUGGGACGUGAGACACUGCCCACGACUCC
RNAcentral lists this ribosomal RNA (305 nucleotides) under uncultured bacterium. Its description in RNAcentral is "bacterial SSU rRNA". It matches the Rfam family "Bacterial small subunit ribosomal RNA", at positions 30 to 339 of the family's 1533-position model. The record is from RNAcentral.